Molecule: ribosomal RNA, 273 nt
Filed under: uncultured bacterium
Lineage: Bacteria
Description: partial 16S ribosomal RNA
Rfam family: Bacterial small subunit ribosomal RNA
Source: RNAcentral
UAAGAAGGGUGCAAGCGUUAAUCGGAAUUACUGGGCGUAACGCGCGCGUAGGUGGUUCGUUAAGUUGGAUGUGAAAGCCCCGGGCUCAACCUGGGAACUGCAUCCAAAACUGGCGAGCUAGAGUAUGGCAGAGGGUGGUGGAAUUUCCUGUGUAGCGGUGAAAUGCGUAGAUAUAGGAAGGAACACCAGUGGCGAAGGCGACCACCUGGGCUAAUACUGACACUGAGGUGCGAGAGCGUGGGGAGCACACAGGAUUAGAUAACAGGGUAGACC